AUUGAACGCUGGCGGCAGGCCUAACACAUGCCAGUCGAGCGGAUGAAGGGAGCUUGCUCCUGGAUUCAGCGGCGGACGGGUGAGUAAUGCCUAGGAAUCUGCCUGGUAGUGGGGGAUAACGUCCGGAAACGGGCGCUAAUACCGCAUGCGUCCUGAGGGAGAAAGUGGGGGAUCUUCGGACCUCACGCUAUCAGAUGAGCCUAGGUCGGAUUAGCUAGUUGGUGGGGUAAAGGCCUACCAAGGCGACGAUCCGUAACUGGUCUGAGAGGAUGAUCAGUCACACUGGAACUGAGACACGGUCCAGACUCCUACGGGAGGCAGCAGUGGGGAAUAUUGGACGAUGGGCGAAAGCCUGAUCCAGCCAUGCCGCGUGUGUGAAGAAGGUCUUCGGAUUGUAAAGCACUUUAAGUUGGGAGGAAGGGCAGUAAGUUAAUACCUUGCUGUUUUGACGUUACCAACAGAAUAAGCACCGGCUAACUUCGUG
RNAcentral lists this ribosomal RNA (484 nucleotides) under uncultured bacterium. Its description in RNAcentral is "partial 16S ribosomal RNA". It matches the Rfam family "Bacterial small subunit ribosomal RNA", at positions 30 to 507 of the family's 1533-position model. The record is from RNAcentral.